This 497-nucleotide ribosomal RNA is filed under the name uncultured bacterium. RNAcentral describes it as "partial 16S ribosomal RNA". It matches the Rfam family "Bacterial small subunit ribosomal RNA", at positions 28 to 507 of the family's 1533-position model. The record is from RNAcentral.
GAUGAACGCUGGCGGCGUGCCUAAUACAUGCAAGUCGAGCGAACAGAUGAGGAGCUUGCUCCUCUGACGUUAGCGGCGGACGGGUGAGUAACACGUGGAUAACCUACCUAUAAGACUGGGAUAACUUCGGGAAACCGGAGCUAAUACCGGAUAAUAUAUUGAACCGCAUGGUUCAAUAGUGAAAGACGGUUUUGCUGUCACUUAUAGAUGGAUCCGCGCCGCAUUAGCUAGUUGGUAAGGUAACGGCUUACCAAGGCAACGAUGCGUAGCCGACCUGAGAGGGUGAUCGGCCCGACGGGAACGGAGACGCGGUCCGGACUCCUACGGGAGGCAGCAGUAGGGAAUCUUCCGCAAUGGGCGAAAGCCUGGCGGAGCAACGCCGCGUGAGUGAUGAAGGUCUUCGGAUCGUAAAACUAUGUUAUUAGGGAAGAACAAAUGUGUAAGUAACUAUGCACGUCUUGACGGUACCUAAUCAGAAAGCCACGGCUAACUACGUG